Molecule: transfer RNA, 64 nt
Filed under: Epuraea sp.
Lineage: Eukaryota; Metazoa; Arthropoda; Insecta; Coleoptera; Nitidulidae
Description: tRNA-Thr
Rfam family: tRNA
About the family: Transfer RNA (tRNA) molecules are approximately 80 nucleotides in length. Their secondary structure includes four short double-helical elements and three loops (D, anti-codon, and T loops).
Source: RNAcentral
GUUUUUAUAGUUUAAAUUUAAAACAUUGGUCUUGUAAAUCAAAAAUAAGGAUUCUUUAAAAACU